Molecule: ribosomal RNA, 253 nt
Filed under: uncultured bacterium
Lineage: Bacteria
Description: partial 16S ribosomal RNA
Rfam family: Bacterial small subunit ribosomal RNA
Source: RNAcentral
UACGUAGGGUGCGAGCGUUAAUCGGAAUUACUGGGCGUAAAGCGUGCGCAGGCGGUUGGUUAAGUCUGAUGUGAAAGCCCCGGGCUCAACCUGGGAAUGGCAUUGGAAACUGGCUGGCUAGAGUGUGGCAGAGGGGGGUGGAAUUCCGCGUGUAGCAGUGAAAUGCGUAGAUAUGACACAGAACACCGAUUGCGAAGGCAGCUCACUAAGCCAUAACUGACGCUGAUGCACGAAAGCGUGGGGAGCAAACAGG